Molecule: ribosomal RNA, 253 nt
Filed under: Salmonella enterica subsp. enterica serovar Kentucky
Lineage: Bacteria; Pseudomonadati; Pseudomonadota; Gammaproteobacteria; Enterobacterales; Enterobacteriaceae
Description: partial 23S ribosomal RNA
Rfam family: Bacterial large subunit ribosomal RNA
Source: RNAcentral
UUAUAUUCUGUAGCAAGGUUAACCGAAUAGGGGAGCCGUAGGGAAACCGAGUCUUAACCGGGCGUUAAGUUGCAGGGUAUAGACCCGAAACCCGGUGAUCUAGCCAUGGGCAGGUUGAAGGUUGGGUCGAUGAUUCCCGAUGCUGAACGCGCCGCAACGUAUAUGCACCCGGAGGUGAAAAUUACCUUCACCGGAGGCCGGGCGAUGGCGGGCGCGGCAGAUAUCGCGCAGUUUAACGGCGCUCGCUACAAGU